GCGAACGGGUGAGUAACACGUGAGUAACCUGCCCUUGACUCUGGGAUAAGCCUGGGAAACUGGGUCUAAUACCGGAUAUGACCGUCUGACGCAUGUCAGGUGGUGGAAAGCUUUUGUGGUUUUGGAUGGACUCGCGGCCUAUCAGCUUGUUGGUGGGGUAAUGGCCUACCAAGGCGACGACGGGUAGCCGGCCUGAGAGGGUGACCGGCCACACUGGGACUGAGACACGGCCCAGACUCCUACGGGAGGCAGCAGUGGGGAAUAUUGCACAAUGGGCGCAAGCCUGAUGCAGCGACGCCGCGUGAGGGAUGACGGCCUUCGGGUUGUAAACCUCUUUCAGUAGGGAAGAAGCGAAAGUGACGGUACCUGCAGAAGAAGCGCCGGCUAACUACGUGCCAGCAGCCGCGGUAAUACGUAGGGCGCAAGCGUUAUCCGGAAUUAUUGGGCGUAAAGAGCUCGUAGGCGGUUUGUCGCGUCUGCUGUGAAAGACCGGGGCUCAACUCCGGUUCUGCAGUGGGUACGGGCAGACUAGAGUGCAGUAGGGGAGACUGGAAUUCCUGGUGUAGCGGUGAAAUGCGCAGAUAUCAGGAGGAACACCGAUGGCGAAGGCAGGUCUCUGGGCUGUAACUGACGCUGAGGAGCGAAAGCAUGGGGAGCGAACAGGAUUAGAUACCCUGGUAGUCCAUGCCGUAAACGUUGGGCACUAGGUGUGGGGGACAUUCCACGUUUUCCGCGCCGUAGCUAACGCAU
This 750-nucleotide ribosomal RNA is filed under the name Paenarthrobacter nitroguajacolicus. RNAcentral's name for it is "bacterial SSU rRNA". It matches the Rfam family "Bacterial small subunit ribosomal RNA", at positions 98 to 860 of the family's 1533-position model. The record is from RNAcentral. Lineage: Bacteria; Bacillati; Actinomycetota; Actinomycetes; Micrococcales; Micrococcaceae.